CCAGAGAACUUAGCAGAGAUGCUUUGGUGCCUUCGGGAACUCUGAGACAGGUGCUGCAUGGCUGUCGUCAGCUCGUGUUGUGAAAUGUUGGGUUAAGUCCCGCAACGAGCGCAACCCUUAUCCUUUGUUGCCAGCGGCUCGGCCGGGAACUCAAAGGAGACUGCCGGUGAUAAACCGGAGGAAGGUGGGGAUGACGUCAAGUCAUCAUGGCCCUUACGGCCAGGGCUACACACGUGCUACAAUGGCGCAUACAAAGAGAAGCGACCUCGCGAGAGCAAGCGGACCUCAUAAAGUGCGUCGUAGUCCGGAUUGGAGUCUGCAACUCGACUCCAUGAAGUCGGAAUCGCUAGUAAUCGUAGAUCAGAAUGCUACGGUGAAUACGUUCCCGGGCCUUGUACACACCGCCCGUCACACCAUGGGAGUGGGUUGCAAAAGAAGUAGGUAGCUUAACCUUCGGGAGGGCGCUUACUACUUUGUGAUUCAUGACUGGGGUGAAGUCGUAACAAGGUAGGCGUAGCGAG
RNAcentral lists this ribosomal RNA (521 nucleotides) under uncultured bacterium. Its description in RNAcentral is "bacterial SSU rRNA". It matches the Rfam family "Bacterial small subunit ribosomal RNA", at positions 988 to 1509 of the family's 1533-position model. The record is from RNAcentral.